Long non-coding RNA from Candoia aspera, 798 nucleotides. RefSeq lists it as uncharacterized. NCBI's taxonomy places the organism in Eukaryota, Metazoa, Chordata, Lepidosauria, Squamata, Candoiidae. The transcript has 3 exons. The record is from RefSeq and is a predicted model, not a curated record.
AAUUUCAAGUGGCCUAGGUUGAGAAAUGCUGAUGUAGACUGUAGACUGAACACCCUGCUAACUAGACCCCUUUUCUCAUCUUUGCUGGAUGCAGAGGCCAAGUUAAAAGAAGAGGAAGAAGAAAACCUUUUCAGGAAGACAAUGAUGGACAAAUACGGCACCCUUGAGCUGACUGACCGAGAAUGGCAGCAUCUCUAUAGUUACUUCCAGUUGAUGACGGCUAUUGAGAACAACCAACAGCAGUUCCAGUCACAGGCUUCCACCACUGACAAGAUCUUGGACACUUUUUUUGAGACAUCCAAAGAGGACUUCUUUCCCUAAGGAAACACAGAGAGAGAGAGAUCCACGGUUCAUGGUGGAAUUUUUUUUUUACACUACCAGCAACUGCUGCAGUUAAAAAGUUGGCAGAGCUGCUUAUUUUGAUGACCUUACAGUAAAUACAACAUUGUGUUAAUUAAAUCAAGUUGCAACUCUCAGCAUAUCGCAGUUUCAACCUCGCUGUCCUUGCUGGGUUUGGAUAUAUACCAGCUCCAAAAUUUGUUUCAGAGGCUAGAGCUGCUGUGCAUUGGAACUUCAGGCCAUGGUUUUAUUUCACUAUUUUCUACAUUGCUUCCAGUGAGCGAUUUUUCAGCUUUCAGACAGAGGAAUAUCUUUCCCAUCAAUUGUUAGCAGAAGACUUUGAACUUAAGCAAGCUUGGACUGAAUCUAAACAUUUUUGCAUAAACUGUAGACAUGCAACUUUCACCGAUCUAUGGAACCUCUCCAAAUGUGAAAAUAAUAAAAACAGAUAGUUACAAA